ACGGAAGGCAGCAGUGGGGAAUAUUGCACAAUGGGGGAAACCCUGAUGCAGCGACGCCGCGUGAGUGAAGAAGUAUUUCGGUAUGUAAAGCUCUAUCAGCAGGAAAGAAAAUGACGGUACCUGACUAAGAAGCCCCGGCUAACUACGUGCCAGCAGCCGCGGUAAUACGUAGGGGGCAAGCGUUAUCCGGAUUUACUGGGUGUAAAGGGAGCGUAGACGGCUUUGCAAGUCUGAAGUGAAAGCCCGGGGCGCAACCCCGGAACUGCUUUGGAAACUGUAGAGCUAGAGUGCAGGAGAGGUAAGUGGAAUUCCUAGUGUAGCGGUGAAAUGCGUAGAUAUUAGGAGGAACACCAGUGGCGAAGGCGGCUUACUGGACUGUAACUGACGUUGAGGCUCGAAGGCGUGGGGAGCAAACAGGAUUAGAUACCCUGGUA
Molecule: ribosomal RNA, 434 nt
Filed under: uncultured Clostridium sp.
Lineage: Bacteria; Bacillati; Bacillota; Clostridia; Eubacteriales; Clostridiaceae
Also listed under: 1 other name
Description: partial 16S ribosomal RNA
Rfam family: Bacterial small subunit ribosomal RNA
Source: RNAcentral